This is a long non-coding RNA of Lolium perenne, 654 nucleotides long. RefSeq lists it as uncharacterized. NCBI's taxonomy places the organism in Eukaryota, Viridiplantae, Streptophyta, Magnoliopsida, Poales, Poaceae. The record is from RefSeq and is a predicted model, not a curated record.
CGUUCGGUGAGUGUGUUUUUGCUGGUGGCUGGGCCGGUUUUGGGGUGUAAUUUUCGGGCUCAAUUAAAACACGUCAAAACACUCGUGGGCUAUUCGGUGGGCCGGUUUUGGCCGGGUACGAGCCCAGAAAACCCCCCAAGACCCGUUGGGUUGACGUGUAAACGAGACGCUCCACCCCCCUCGCGUUUUGGCUGGCGGCGCAGGGCUCGCGACGCUCGAAGCCUACACCGCAGCCGCCGCCCGUUCGAAGCCUCGCUGCCGCCGCCGCCCGUUCGAAGCCUCGCCGCCGCCGUCGAAGCUCGUCUCCGAAUCCGUCCCGCAGCAAACCAGCGACGGUCCCUGUCGAGACCUCAUCUUCUCCGGCCCUGCGAGCGACCGACACAGAGCUCCUUCCGCCGCCGAGACGGAGCUCUUCUCGCUGCGCCUCUUCUCCGGCCAAGCUGGAUACCUCUGUCCUCCAACCGGUGGAGUGAAUGGAUGGCCCGCUUCAAGUCUGGAGUUUAUGGAGUGUCAUUUGUGGGGUGAAUAAUAACAAUAACAAGCUUGUACUAUGUUAUUAUAACCUGAGUUAGUUUCAGUGCCAAUGGAUAAUUCAAUCUCUCUGUCUAGUCGAAAAUGGCUGCAUUUAUGAAUUCUACAAGUUCUUGAUUGUUA